UCUGAUUAGCUAGUUGGUGAGGUAAGGCUUACCAAGGCUUCGAUCAGUAGCUGGUCUGAGAGGACGACCAGCCACACUGGGACUGAGACACGGCCCAGACUCCUACGGGAGGCAGCAGUGGGGAAUUUUGGACAAUGGGGGAAACCCUGAUCCAGCCAUGCCGCGUGAGUGAAGAAGGCCUUCGGGUUGUAAAGCUCUUUCAGCCGGAAAGAAAUGGUUACGGUUAAUACCCGUGACUAAUGACGGUACCGGAAGAAGAAGCACCGGCUAACUACGUGCCAGCAGCCGCGGUAAUACGUAGGGUGCAAGCGUUAAUCGGAAUUACUGGGCGUAAAGCGUGCGCAGGCGGUUUUGUAAGUCAGAUGUGAAAUCCCCGGGCUCAACCUGGGAACUGCGUUUGAAAUAC
This 406-nucleotide ribosomal RNA is filed under the name uncultured Nitrosospira sp. RNAcentral's name for it is "bacterial SSU rRNA". It matches the Rfam family "Bacterial small subunit ribosomal RNA", at positions 236 to 636 of the family's 1533-position model. Lineage: Bacteria; Pseudomonadati; Pseudomonadota; Betaproteobacteria; Nitrosomonadales; Nitrosomonadaceae. The record is from RNAcentral.